UGGCUCAUUCCUGGCUGUGGCUCAGGAAGCAGAGCCUGGGGCGUCUCCACCAUGGCCUGGGCUCCACUCCUCCUCACCCUCCUCGCUCACUGCACAGGGUCUUGGGCUGAGGUUGUGUUCACUCAGCCCCAUUCUGUGUCGGGGUCUCCGGGGCAGACGGUCACCAUCUCCUGCACCCGCAGCAGUGGCAGCAUUGACAGCAGAUAUGUGUACUGGUACCAGCAGCGCCCGGGCAGUGCCCCCACCACUGUGAUCUAUGACGAUAACCAAAGACCCUCUGGGGUCCCUGAUCGGUUCUCUGGCUCCAUCGACAGCUCCUCCAACUCUGCCUCUCUCACCAUCUCUGGGCUGAAGUCUGAGGACGAGGCUGAUUACUACUGUCAGUCUGCUAAUGACAGCCACAAUCCCACAGUACUCCAGACCCAUGGGGAACUGUCCUGGACAGUGUAA
This is a non-coding RNA of Pongo pygmaeus (Bornean orangutan), 450 nucleotides long. NCBI's taxonomy places the organism in Eukaryota, Metazoa, Chordata, Mammalia, Primates, Hominidae. The record is from the annotation of a RefSeq genome assembly.